RNAcentral lists this ribosomal RNA (1343 nucleotides) under Staphylococcus aureus. RNAcentral describes it as "partial 23S ribosomal RNA". It matches the Rfam family "Bacterial large subunit ribosomal RNA", at positions 1573 to 2925 of the family's 2925-position model. The record is from RNAcentral. Lineage: Bacteria; Bacillati; Bacillota; Bacilli; Caryophanales; Staphylococcaceae.
AAGACAUUGUGUCUUCGAGUCGUUGAUUUCACACUGCCGAGAAAAGCCUCUAGAUAGAAAAUAGGUGCCCGUACCGCAAACCGACACAGGUAGUCAAGAUGAGAAUUCUAAGGUGAGCGAGCGAACUCUCGUUAAGGAACUCGGCAAAAUGACCCCGUAACUUCGGGAGAAGGGGUGCUCUUUAGGGUUAACGCCCAGAAGAGCCGCAGUGAAUAGGCCCAAGCGACUGUUUAUCAAAAACACAGGUCUCUGCUAAACCGUAAGGUGAUGUAUAGGGGCUGACGCCUGCCCGGUGCUGGAAGGUUAAGAGGAGUGGUUAGCUUCUGCGAAGCUACGAAUCGAAGCCCCAGUAAACGGCGGCCGUAACUAUAACGGUCCUAAGGUAGCGAAAUUCCUUGUCGGGUAAGUUCCGACCCGCACGAAAGGCGUAACGAUUUGGGCACUGUCUCAACGAGAGACUCGGUGAAAUCAUAGUACCUGUGAAGAUGCAGGUUACCCGCGACAGGACGGAAAGACCCCGUGGAGCUUUACUGUAGCCUGAUAUUGAAAUUCGGCACAGCUUGUACAGGAUAGGUAGGAGCCUUUGAAACGUGAGCGCUAGCUUACGUGGAGGCGCUGGUGGGAUACUACCCUAGCUGUGUUGGCUUUCUAACCCGCACCACUUAUCGUGGUGGGAGACAGUGUCAGGCGGGCAGUUUGACUGGGGCGGUCGCCUCCUAAAAGGUAACGGAGGCGCUCAAAGGUUCCCUCAGAAUGGUUGGAAAUCAUUCAUAGAGUGUAAAGGCAUAAGGGAGCUUGACUGCGAGACCUACAAGUCGAGCAGGGUCGAAAGACGGACUUAGUGAUCCGGUGGUUCCGCAUGGAAGGGCCAUCGCUCAACGGAUAAAAGCUACCCCGGGGAUAACAGGCUUAUCUCCCCCAAGAGUUCACAUCGACGGGGAGGUUUGGCACCUCGAUGUCGGCUCAUCGCAUCCUGGGGCUGUAGUCGGUCCCAAGGGUUGGGCUGUUCGCCCAUUAAAGCGGUACGCGAGCUGGGUUCAGAACGUCGUGAGACAGUUCGGUCCCUAUCCGUCGUGGGCGUAGGAAAUUUGAGAGGAGCUGUCCUUAGUACGAGAGGACCGGGAUGGACAUACCUCUGGUGUACCAGUUGUCGUGCCAACGGCAUAGCUGGGUAGCUAUGUGUGGACGGGAUAAGUGCUGAAAGCAUCUAAGCAUGAAGCCCCCCUCAAGAUGAGAUUUCCCAACUUCGGUUAUAAGAUCCCUCAAAGAUGAUGAGGUUAAUAGGUUCGAGGUGGAAGCAUGGUGACAUGUGGAGCUGACGAAUACUAAUCGAUCGAAGACUU